RNAcentral lists this ribosomal RNA (177 nucleotides) under uncultured bacterium. RNAcentral's name for it is "partial 16S ribosomal RNA". It matches the Rfam family "Bacterial small subunit ribosomal RNA", at positions 354 to 524 of the family's 1533-position model. The record is from RNAcentral.
GUGGGGAAUUUUGGACAAUGGGCGAAGGCCUGAUCCGCCAUUCCGCGUGCAGGACGAAGGCCUUCGGGUUGUAAACUGCUUUUGUACGGAACGAAAAGGCUCUGGCUAAUACCUGGGGCUCAUGACGGUACCGUAAGAAUAAGCACCGGCUAACUUCGUGCCAGCAGCCGCGGUAAU